This 76-nucleotide microRNA precursor is filed under the name Tribolium castaneum (red flour beetle). RNAcentral describes it as "microRNA tca-mir-3851m precursor (tca-mir-3851m-4)". The record is from miRBase by way of RNAcentral. Lineage: Eukaryota; Metazoa; Arthropoda; Insecta; Coleoptera; Tenebrionidae.
UUAGUACUGGGUUGGCACAGAGUAGUACUAUGUAAAAUUCUAUUUCAUAGUACGACCCGUGUCGGCCCAGUAAGAG